Brassica napus (rape) is the source of this 1206-nucleotide long non-coding RNA. RefSeq lists it as uncharacterized. The record is from RefSeq and is a predicted model, not a curated record. NCBI's taxonomy places the organism in Eukaryota, Viridiplantae, Streptophyta, Magnoliopsida, Brassicales, Brassicaceae. The transcript is spliced from 2 exons.
AGAACACAGCUGAAGGGGGACUCCGAGCACCUCGUGCAAGCUUGUCCGCCACUAGAUUAGUUGCUCUUGGUAUAUGUUGAAUCUUGAAGGAAGGAAAGAAACUCUUACCAGAAUUUAUUCUCUUAAAAUCUUUAAUCCCAAGUUUUUAAACUUAAACUUUUAACCUUACAUAUACUUCAAACCAUAUAUUCAUACUUAACCUUAUAUCUUAAGACAUUAAUUCAUAUUACAUACUUCAAACUAUUUUUAAAUAUUUUCUAAAUUUUAAACUUAAACCUCAAACUCCAAAUCAUAUAUCAUAAAUUUCAUUUCUAAAUCUAUUUUUCAUUUCUAGAACUAUAUAACAUGUACUCUAAGUGAAGUAAACUUAUAAUUUUAAUAACUUUUUUUUUAUCAACAAUAAAACUUAUAAUAAACAUAAAAACUAAAGAAAAAUUAGAAAGUAAAAUUCUAUCCCUGUACGAAAAUGAGAUUAGAAACAAAAAUUAUAAAACAACUAACAUUAAAGAAUAAAAUGUAUUCUGUCUGUUGAGAAAAAAGUAUAACAACUAAAAAAAUUCCUAUUGGCUGAUUCACAAACACAAGGAUCAAGCUUUUCACCGUCGGAUGAGAUUGGAUCCAAGGGACCAAAGUUAUUCCUUUUCUUCAGAUCUCCAUACAUAGCUUUCUUCACUGCUGGCCUCCGCAUCUCCUCUCUUCUCUUUCGUCAGAAGAUCUCUCCACCCUCGCAAGAUCUCUGCCUUCAUCGCUCUCCAUCUUCUCUACCACCUCCGUUAAUGGUCGUUUAUUAUAAAUUUUACUUCCAUCAUCUCUCUUCUGCGUGACUUUGACUUUGGUGCAGGUUGAAGAAUUGAAUGAGUGGUAUCUCUGUCUUCCAUCAUUUGAUGUCACGCUCACCGUUCACCACCACUCCACGGAGGGUGGAGGAUGCAGAAAAAGCUUGAUGGUGGAGGAUGCAGAAGAAGCUUGAUGGUGGAGGAGACAAGACCAGCCGUGGUCGCAGUGGCUGUUGUGCGGCGGAGGCAAGGCCACACAUGGCGGCUGGAGGAGGCAAGGCGAGGCAGGCAUGGCCGCUUAUUUUUUUAGGGUUGAAUUUUUUUUAAUGAUUUGGUUUAGUUAUCUAAACCUAAUUUUAUUUUAAACCAAUUUCAUUUUGUAAACCGAGUUAUUUUUAUUUCGAUUUAUAGAGUAACCAAUUGAAACUGA